GGCUCAGGAUGAACGCUGGCGGCGUGCUUAACACAUGCAAGUCGAACGAUGAAGCCCAGCUUGCUGGGUGGAUUAGUGGCGAACGGGUGAGUAACACGUGAGUAACCUGCCCUUAACUCUGGGAUAAGCCUGGGAAACUGGGUCUAAUACCGGAUAGGAGCGUCCACCGCAUGGUGGGUGUUGGAAAGAUUUAUCGGUUUUGGAUGGACUCGCGGCCUAUCAGCUUGUUGGUGAGGUAAUGGCUCACCAAGGCGACGACGGGUAGCCGGCCUGAGAGGGUGACCGGCCACACUGGGACUGAGACACGGCCCAGACUCCUACGGGAGGCAGCAGUGGGGAAUAUUGCACAAUGGGCGAAAGCCUGAUGCAGCGACGCCGCGUGAGGGAUGACGGCCUUCGGGUUGUAAACCUCUUUCAGUAGGGAAGAAGCGAAAGUGACGGUACCUGCAGAAGAAGCACCGGCUAACUACGUGCCAGCAGCCGCGGUAAUACGUAGGGUGCGAGCGUUAUCCGGAAUUAUUGGGCGUAAAGAGCUCGUAGGCGGUUUGUCGCGUCUGUCGUGAAAGUCCGGGGCUUAACCCCGGAUCUGCGGUGGGUACGGGCAGACUAGAGUGCAGUAGGGGAGACUGGAAUUCCUGGUGUAGCGGUGGAAUGCGCAGAUAUCAGGAGGAACACCGAUGGCGAAGGCAGGUCUCUGGGCUGUAACUGACGCUGAGGAGCGAAAGCAUGGGGAGCGAACAGGAUUAGAUACCCUGGUAGUCCAUGCCGUAAACGUUGGGCACUAGGUGUGGGGACCAUUCCACGGUUUCCGCGCCCGCAGCUAACGCAUUAAGUGCCCCGCCUGGGGAGUACGGCCGCAAGGCUAAAACUCAAAGGAAUUGACGGGGGCCCGCACAAGCGGCGGAGCAUGCGGAUUAAUUCGAUGCAACGCGAAGAACCUUACCAAGGCUUGACAUGUUCCCGAUCGCCGUAGAGAUACGAUUUCCCCUUUGGGGCGGGUUCACAGGUGGUGCAUGGUUGUCGUCAGCUCGUGUCGUGAGAUGUUGGGUUAAGUCCCGCAACGAGCGCAACCCUCGUUCCAUGUUGCCAGCACGUAAUGGUGGACUCAUGGGAGACUGCCGGGGUCAACUCGGAGGAAGGUGAGACGACGUCAAAUCAUCAUGCCCCUUAUGUCUUGGGCUUCACGCAUGCUACAAUGGCCGGUACAAUGGGUUGCGAUACUGUGAGGUGGAGCUAAUCCAAAAAGCCCGGUCUCAGUUCGGAUUGGGGUCUGCAACUCGACCCCAUGAAGUCGGAGUCGCUAGUAAUCGCAGAUCAGCAACGCUGCGGGUGAAUACGUUCCCGGGCCUUGUACACACCGCCCGUCAAGUCACGAAA
RNAcentral lists this ribosomal RNA (1377 nucleotides) under Micrococcus luteus. RNAcentral's name for it is "16S ribosomal RNA". It matches the Rfam family "Bacterial small subunit ribosomal RNA". The record is from RNAcentral. Lineage: Bacteria; Bacillati; Actinomycetota; Actinomycetes; Micrococcales; Micrococcaceae.